AUACAGAGGGUGCGAGCGUUAAUCGGAAUUACUGGGCGUAAAGCGCGCGUAGGCGGUUACUUAAGUCAGAUGUGAAAUCCCCGGGCUCAACCUGGGAACUGCAUUUGAAACUGGGUAACUAGAGUUUAGUAGAGGGGAGUGGAAUUUCAGGUGUAGCGGUGAAAUGCGUAGAGAUCUGAAGGAACACCAGUGGCGAAGGCGACUCCCUGGACUAAAACUGACGCUGAGGUACGAAAGCGUGGGUAGCAAACAGGAUUAGAAACCCGAGUAGUCC
Molecule: ribosomal RNA, 274 nt
Filed under: uncultured bacterium
Lineage: Bacteria
Description: partial 16S ribosomal RNA
Rfam family: Bacterial small subunit ribosomal RNA
Source: RNAcentral